RNAcentral lists this ribosomal RNA (526 nucleotides) under Pomadasys maculatus (saddle grunt). RNAcentral describes it as "partial 16S ribosomal RNA". It matches the Rfam family "Bacterial large subunit ribosomal RNA", at positions 1848 to 2571 of the family's 2925-position model. The record is from RNAcentral. Lineage: Eukaryota; Metazoa; Chordata; Actinopteri; Lutjaniformes; Haemulidae.
AGAGGUCCCGCCUGCCCUGUGACUUGUAUGUUUAACGGCCGCGGUAUUUUGACCGUGCGAAGGUAGCGCAAUCACUUGUCCUUUAAAUGAGGACCCGUAUGAAUGGCAUAACGAGGGCUUAUCUGUCUCCUUUUUCCAGUCAAUGAAAUUGAUCUCCCCGUGCAGAAGCGGGGAUAACCACAUAAGACGAGAAGACCCUGUGGAGCUUUAGACGCCAGGGCAGACCACGUUAAGCACCCCUAAAUACAGGGCUAAACCACAUGACCCCUGCCCCUAUGUCUUCGGUUGGGGCGACCAUGGGGUAAAACAAACCCCCCACGUGGAACGGGAGUACUUUCCUCCUCAAACCCAGAGCCUCCGCUCUAAUUAGCAGAACCUCUGACCUAUAGACCCGGUAAAACCGAUCAACGAACCAAGUUACCCCAGGGAUAACAGCGCAAUCCUCUUUUAGAGCCCAUAUCGACAAGAGGGUUUACGACCUCGAUGUUGGAUCAGGACAUCCUAAUGGUGCAGCCGCUAUUAAGGG